GCUUACGGCCACACCGCCUGGUUCACGCCCGAUCUCGUUUGAUCUCGGAAGCUAAGGUAGGUUGGGCCUGGUUAGUACUUGGAUUGGAGACCGCCUGGGAAUACCAGGUGCUGUAAGUA
Molecule: ribosomal RNA, 119 nt
Organism: Scophthalmus maximus (turbot)
Lineage: Eukaryota; Metazoa; Chordata; Actinopteri; Pleuronectiformes; Scophthalmidae
Source: Ensembl